Molecule: ribosomal RNA, 867 nt
Filed under: uncultured archaeon
Lineage: Archaea
Description: bacterial SSU rRNA
Rfam family: Archaeal small subunit ribosomal RNA
Source: RNAcentral
CUCCGGUGAUCCCGCCGGACCCGACUGCUAUCAGAGUGGGACUAAGCCAUGCGAGUCAACAUAGCAAUAUGUGGCAUACGGCUCAGUAACACGUAGUCAACAUGCCCAGGGGACGUGGAUAACCUCGGGAAACUGAGGAUAAACCGCGAUAGGUCAUCACUUCUGGAAUGGGUAAUGACUUAAAUCUAUAUGGCCCCUGGAUUGGACUGCGGCCGAUCAGGCUGUUGGUGAGGUAAUGGCCCACCAAACCUGUAACCGGUACGGGCUCUGAGAGGAGGAGCCCGGAGAUGGGCACUGAGACAAGGGCCCAGGCCCUAUGGGGCGCAGCAGGCGCGAAACCCCUGCAAUAGGCGAAAGCUUGACAGGGUUACUCUGAGUGAUUUCCGUUAAGGAGAUCUUUUGGCACCUCUAAAAAUGGUGCAGAAUAAGGGGUGGGCAAGUCUGGUGUCAGCCGCCGCGGUAAUACCAGCACCCCGAGUGGUCGGGACGUUUAUUGGGCCUAAAGCAUCCGUAGCCGGUUCUACAAGUCUUCCGUUAAAUCCACCUGCUUAACAGAUGGGCUGCGGAAGAUACUAUAGAGCUAGGAGGCGGGAGAGGCAAGCGGUACUCGAUGGGUAGGGGUAAAAUCCGUUGAUCCAUUGAAGACCACCAGUGGCGAAGGCGGCUUGCCAGAACGCGCUCGACGGUGAGGGAUGAAAGCUGGGGGAGCAAACCGGAUUAGAUACCCGGGUAGUCCCAGCUGUAAACGAUGCAGACUCGGUGAUGAGUUGGCUUAUUGCUAACUCAGUGCCGCAGGGAAGCCGUUAAGUUUGCCGCCUGGGGAGUACGGUCGCAAGACUGAAACUUAAAGGAAUUGGCGGGGGAGCA